This is a non-coding RNA of Hemicordylus capensis (graceful crag lizard), 453 nucleotides long. Lineage: Eukaryota; Metazoa; Chordata; Lepidosauria; Squamata; Cordylidae. The record is from the annotation of a RefSeq genome assembly.
AUGAAGCUGCUCUUUGUCUUCCUGUCCUUAUUACCUUCUCCAUUCUAUGUCCAUGGCAGUGUUCAGCUCAAGGAUUCUGGACCAGGGAUAGUGAAACCUGGAGGAUCCCUCCGACUAACCUGUGUUGUCAGGGGUGACUCUAUUGAGAAUUCCUGGUGGGAUUGGGUUCGACAGCCUCCUGGGAAAGGACUGGAAUGGCUGGGCCUGAUAGAGAAGAAAGGAUCCAUCUGGAGCACACGCUAUGCCCCAUCUCUCCAAGGCCGCCUCACCUUUUCUGCCGAUGCCUCCAGCAACACUUAUUCUCUCCAGCUGAACUCCUUGACAGCUGCAGAUGUGGCCACAUAUUACUGUUCAAGAGGGGCCCACAGUGAUUCAGAGCAAUCCCAGAACCAUACAAAGAAGGGGAAGGCAUUUGCUACUGGCUCUUUGCCUUCAAGAUAUUUCAAACAUUGA